This 497-nucleotide ribosomal RNA is filed under the name uncultured bacterium. Its description in RNAcentral is "bacterial SSU rRNA". It matches the Rfam family "Bacterial small subunit ribosomal RNA", at positions 29 to 518 of the family's 1533-position model. The record is from RNAcentral.
AUGAACGCUAGCGACAGGCCUAACACAUGCAAGUCGAGGGGCAGCACAAGGAGCAAUCUGAGGUGGCGACCGGCGCACGGGUGAGUAACACGUAUGCAACCUGCCUGUAAGCGGGGAAUAACCCGUUGAAAGACGGACUAAUACCGCAUAAUACUAAAUUACUGCAUGGUAAUUUAUUUUAAACAUUUUAUGGCUUACAGAUGGGCAUGCGCAUGAUUAGCUAGUUGGAGAGGUAACGGCUCCCCAAGGCAACGAUCAUUAGGGGUUCUGAGAGGAAGGUCCCCCACACUGGUACUGAGACACGGACCAGACUCCUACGGGAGGCAGCAGUGAGGAAUAUUGGUCAAUGGACGAGAGUCUGAACCAGCCAAGUCGCGUGCAGGAAGAAUGUCCCUAUGGAUUGUAAACUGCUUUUGCAGGGGAAUAAAGUGCAUCACGUGUGAUGUUUUGUAUGUACUCUGCGAAUAAGGAUCGGCUAACUCCGUGCCAGCCGCCGC